AUUGAACGCUGGCGGCAUGCUUUACACAUGCAAGUCGAACGGUAACAGGCCGCAAGGUGCUGACGAGUGGCGAACGGGUGAGUAAUGCAUCGGAACGUGCCCAGUCGUGGGGGAUAACUACUCGAAAGAGUAGCUAAUACCGCAUACGAUCUGUGGAUGAAAGCGGGGGACCGUAAGGCCUCGCGCGAUUGGAGCGGCCGAUGUCAGAUUAGGUAGUUGGUGGGGUAAAGGCUCACCAAGCCAACGAUCUGUAGCUGGUCUGAGAGGACGACCAGCCACACUGGGACUGAGACACGGCCCAGACUCCUACGGGAGGCAGCAGUGGGGAAUUUUGGACAAUGGGCGCAAGCCUGAUCCAGCAAUGCCGCGUGCAGGAAGAAGGCCUUCGGGUUGUAAACUGCUUUUGUACGGAACGAAACGGCUCUGGUUAAUACCCGGGGCUAAUGACGGUACCGUAAGAAUAAGCACCGGCUAACUACGUG
RNAcentral lists this ribosomal RNA (482 nucleotides) under uncultured bacterium. RNAcentral's name for it is "partial 16S ribosomal RNA". It matches the Rfam family "Bacterial small subunit ribosomal RNA", at positions 30 to 507 of the family's 1533-position model. The record is from RNAcentral.